AAAGGCACGUCUGUCAGUAGCAACCUGUGGGGGAGAGGAGAGAGUUAACGCUUAGCUCUAUCACACUAAUACACACAGGCCUCAAUCAACAGCCACGGCUCUGAAGUGGAAAAAUCAAAUGGAGCAGCGGGUCUCUUACAGGUGAAUAUCUCAUUUGAACCUGAUCUCAUGAAGAAUCUGUACCACUGCAUCUGAUUUCAAGAUCACCUAUGGUGCAGUACAUGGCACUGUUUCACAUGCAUCACAAGUCACAAGACCCACCCACAUGAUGGGACACACACACACACACACACACACACUGUAAACGGGGACUACUGCAGGAGCUGCGCUUACAAAGCAGGAACUGUCUCUUUAUACAAAGGCAAGACUACCUCCUCUUUUAGCUGUAAGGAGGAGUGUGUGAUUUCAUUUUGUGCGCUGUCUGUGUUGCUGGCGAUGGCGUGUAUGCGUGUGUGUGUCCACAUGCGGACAAAGACCCUACUCAUAACUGAAACGGACGGGCCGAGGCAGCACACACUGACUCCAGUGUGUCACAGGGGAGAAGCGGACUGAUGAUGCAGCUCAUGUGAAAUGUGCUACGCUAGCUUUACUGGA
Pangasianodon hypophthalmus (striped catfish) is the source of this 594-nucleotide long non-coding RNA. RefSeq lists it as uncharacterized. Lineage: Eukaryota; Metazoa; Chordata; Actinopteri; Siluriformes; Pangasiidae. The record is from RefSeq and is a predicted model, not a curated record. The transcript is spliced from 3 exons.